This 86-nucleotide transfer RNA is filed under the name Gemmatimonadota bacterium. RNAcentral describes it as "Gemmatimonadetes bacterium tRNA-Tyr". It matches the Rfam family "tRNA". Rfam says of the family: Transfer RNA (tRNA) molecules are approximately 80 nucleotides in length. Their secondary structure includes four short double-helical elements and three loops (D, anti-codon, and T loops). The record is from RNAcentral. Lineage: Bacteria; Pseudomonadati; Gemmatimonadota. RNAcentral also lists the same sequence under 1 other name.
GGGGGGUUACCAAAGCGGCCAACUGGGGCAGACUGUAAAUCUGCUGGCUUAUGCCUUCGGUGGUUCGAAUCCGCCACCCCCCACCA